This 499-nucleotide ribosomal RNA is filed under the name uncultured bacterium. Its description in RNAcentral is "partial 16S ribosomal RNA". It matches the Rfam family "Bacterial small subunit ribosomal RNA", at positions 899 to 1397 of the family's 1533-position model. The record is from RNAcentral.
ACUCAAAUGAAUUGACGGGGGCCCGCACAAGCGGUGGAGCAUGUGGUUCAAUUCGACGCAACGCGAAGAACCUUACCUGGGCUCGAACGGCUAUGGAUCGACCGUAGAAAUAUGGUUUUCCCGCAAGGGACUGUAGUCGAGGUGCUGCAUGGCUGUCGUCAGCUCGUGUCGUGAGAUGUUGGGUUAAGUCCCGCAACGAGCGCAACCCUUGUCCUGUGUUGCCAUCAUUUAGUUGGGCACUCGCAGGAGACCGCCAGCGAUAAGUUGGAGGAAGGUGGGGAUGAUGUCAAGUCAUCAUGGCCUUUAUGUCCAGGGCUACACACGUGCUACAAUGGACGGUACAAACCGCUGCAAACCCGCGAGGGGGAGCUAAUCGGAGAAAACCGUUCUCAGUUCGGAUUGCAGGCUGCAACUCGCCUGCAUGAAGCUGGAAUCGCUAGUAAUGCCGUAUCAGAACGACGGCGUGAAUACGUUCCCGGGCCUUGCACACACCGCCCGU